This 503-nucleotide ribosomal RNA is filed under the name uncultured bacterium. RNAcentral describes it as "partial 16S ribosomal RNA". It matches the Rfam family "Bacterial small subunit ribosomal RNA", at positions 29 to 523 of the family's 1533-position model. The record is from RNAcentral.
AACGAACGCUGGCGGCACGUUUUAAGCAUGCAAGUCGAAUGGCAGUGGGGGCAACCCCAUGAGAAUGGCGAACGGGUGAGUAACACGUAGGUGAUCUGCCUGACGGAUGAGGAUAGCUUGUGGAAACACAGGGUAAUACCGAAUGAGCUGACGAGACUUUGGUUUUUUUAGUAAAGGUGCUACGGCACCGCCGACAGAGGAGCCUGCGGCUGAUUAGCUAGUUGGUGGGGUAAAGGCCUACCAAGGCGACGAUCAGUAGCCGGCCUGAGAGGGUGUACGGCCACACUGGAACUGAGACACGGUCCAGACUCCUACGGGAGGCAGCAGCUAAGAAUCUUCCGCAAUGGGCGAAAGCCUGACGGAGCGAUGCCGCGUGAUCGAUGAAGGUCGAGAGAUUGUAAAGAUCUUUUCUACAUGAGGAAUAAGUCUGGGAGGGAAUGCCUGGAUGAUGACGUUAGUGUAGGAAUAAGCCCCGGCUAAUUACGUGCCAGCCGCCGCCGUAA